RNAcentral lists this ribosomal RNA (486 nucleotides) under uncultured bacterium. RNAcentral's name for it is "bacterial SSU rRNA". It matches the Rfam family "Bacterial small subunit ribosomal RNA", at positions 1 to 501 of the family's 1533-position model. The record is from RNAcentral.
CCCUUAGAGUUUGAUCCUGGCUCAGGACGAACGCUGGCGGCGCGCCUAACACAUGCAAGUCGAACGAGCGAGAGGAGGUUUACUUUCUCAAGCGAGUGGCGAACGGGUGAAUAACGCGUGAGGAACCUGCCUCAAAGAGGGGGACAACAGUUGGAAACGACUGCUAAUACCGCAUAAGCCCACGACCCGGCAUCGGGUAGAGGGAAAAGGAGCAAUCCGCUUUGAGAUGGCCUCGCGUCCGAUUAGCUAGUUGGUGAGGUAAUGGCCCACCAAGGCGACGAUCGGUAGCCGGACUGAGAGGUUGAACGGCCACAUUGGGACUGAGACACGGCCCAGACUCCUACGGGAGGCAGCAGUGGGGAAUAUUGCACAAUGGGGGAAACCCUGAUGCAGCGACGCCGCGUGGAGGAAGAAGGUCUUCGGAUUGUAAACUCCUGUUGUUGAGGAAGGUAAUAGACGGUACUCAACAAGGAAGUGACGGCUACU